CCCCUAGAUGUUCUGGGCCGCACGCGCGCUACACUGAACAGUUCAACAAGUCUUAACCUUGGCCGAUAGGUCUGGGUAAUCUUUGAACGCUGUUCGUGAUUGGGAUAGACCUUUGCAAUUAUGGGUCUUCAACGAGGAAUUCCUAGUAAACGCAAGUCAUCAGCUUGCAUUGAUUACGUCCCUGCCCUUUGGACACACCGCCCGUCGCACCUACCGAUUGAAUGGUCCGGUGAAAUCUCGGGACGGCGGCUUGGUCGCUUGCGUCCGACUGCUGAAACUUGAUUAAACCAUAUCAUUUAGAGGAAGGUGAAGUCGUAACA
RNAcentral lists this ribosomal RNA (320 nucleotides) under uncultured eukaryote. RNAcentral describes it as "partial 18S ribosomal RNA". It matches the Rfam family "Eukaryotic small subunit ribosomal RNA", at positions 1470 to 1796 of the family's 1831-position model. The record is from RNAcentral.